RNAcentral lists this long non-coding RNA (533 nucleotides) under Lathyrus oleraceus (garden pea). Its description in RNAcentral is "Pisum sativum (pea) long non-coding RNA (PSAT_LNC024390)". The record is from RNAcentral. Lineage: Eukaryota; Viridiplantae; Streptophyta; Magnoliopsida; Fabales; Fabaceae.
UUAAGAGUCUAGGACCAUUGUGACGAAGUAUGAGGUUUAAUGAAAAAUGAUUUUUAAACUAGGGUUCUCACUUUACAUGAUCUAGGGAUUUUGAGAAAUUGGGUGUAAGACACUGCCCUUAGAGUCAUGGACUCCCUUGACUGUCUGCCGCUUAUGUCAAUUUACUUGCCAUGUGACAGCUCCAUCAAGGAAAUCUACUCUAAGUGAGAUCUUCAUAUCGACCCUCGCGAGGAAAGCUCCCCGGGGACCUAUACUACACGACCAUCGGUCUAGGCUAACCAAGGUUAAAUGUUCUAAAAAGGGGGUCUUAGGGUCACGAACUCUAAUGAAGAUAAGGAUGCUUACGCCGAAAGCACGACGGUCAUCAAUACCUCUAAGAAUGUCUACCACUAAAUGAGGUUCUCAUAUGAACCUACACGAGGAAAGCUCCCAGGGGACCCAUACUACUCAAUCUCUCAUAUCCCAAGCAAACUCUCAGACUCGGGUGAAGAAUCUUUCACACAAGGUUUUCAUUGCAAUCAUCAUUGUAACCC